This 84-nucleotide small nucleolar RNA is filed under the name Gossypium barbadense (sea-island cotton). RNAcentral describes it as "Plant small nucleolar RNA R71". It matches the Rfam family "Plant small nucleolar RNA R71", at positions 1 to 84 of the family's 107-position model. Rfam says of the family: R71 is a member of the C/D box family of snoRNAs containing the C (UGAUGA) and D (CUGA) box motifs. Multiple nearly identical copies of this snoRNA have been identified in Arabidopsis, and it is thought to function as a 2'-O-ribose methylation guide for 18S ribosomal RNA. RNAcentral also lists the same sequence under 1 other name. The record is from Rfam by way of RNAcentral. Lineage: Eukaryota; Viridiplantae; Streptophyta; Magnoliopsida; Malvales; Malvaceae.
AUCCCAUGUUGAGGACACUUACGAAGUAACUCCUUGAAUCGCUCCCAAGCCUCAUACAAAGACUCGUCAUCCAAUUGUUGGAAU